CUGAAGCCGAAAGGAUUGUGUCAUUAAGAAACUGACUCACAAAUCAUACUUCUAGGCACAGCCUUCAAUGAGAGAGUUCUCAGAGAAGGAUCGUGACUGAGGCUGCUCCUGGCUAACGUUGCUGAAGAGAUGUCUGCACUCCCACACGCAUUACAGCAUUAUUAACCGACAGCCAAGCUGUAGACACAAGGUGUCACAGAAGAAUGACAGAGAAAAGGUUGGGCAGAUGUUCUUUCUGGAUUCAGCUUUUCUGAGACAAUCGUAAAGAGUGCCAAGACAUCGAGCAGAGCUGGCAGCCACCUGC
RNAcentral lists this long non-coding RNA (304 nucleotides) under Heterocephalus glaber (naked mole-rat). RNAcentral's name for it is "lncRNA (ENSHGLG00000039968.1)". Lineage: Eukaryota; Metazoa; Chordata; Mammalia; Rodentia; Bathyergidae. The record is from RNAcentral.